Sapajus apella (tufted capuchin) is the source of this 114-nucleotide long non-coding RNA. RefSeq lists it as uncharacterized. The record is from RefSeq and is a predicted model, not a curated record. Lineage: Eukaryota; Metazoa; Chordata; Mammalia; Primates; Cebidae. The transcript has 2 exons.
CAGGAGAAUCACUUGAACCUGGGAGGCGGAGGUUGCAGUUGGCUGAGACCUGCCAGUGAACUCCAGCCUGGGUGACAGAGAGAGGCCUUAUCUCAAAAAAAAAAAAAAAUUAAU